AACGUAGGUGGCGAGCGUUAUCCGGAUUUACUGGGCGUAAAGCGUGUGCAGGCGGGGCUCCAAGUGGUGUAUGAAAUUUCCCAGCUUAACUGGGAGAGGUUAUGCCAGACUGGAGUUCUAGAGUGCGAGAGGGGGGCGUGGAAUUCCGGGUGUAGUGGUGAAAUGCGUAGAGAUCCGGAGGAACCCCAGAGGCGAAGGCGGCGCCCUGGCUCGCAACUGACGCUCAGACACGACAGCAUGGGGAGCGAACGGG
This 253-nucleotide ribosomal RNA is filed under the name uncultured bacterium. RNAcentral describes it as "partial 16S ribosomal RNA". It matches the Rfam family "Bacterial small subunit ribosomal RNA", at positions 524 to 776 of the family's 1533-position model. The record is from RNAcentral.